This is an RNA transcript of Cryptomeria japonica (Japanese cedar), 2462 nucleotides long. It is a transcript of the gene named protein TIFY 10b, with no coding region annotated. The record is from RefSeq and is a predicted model, not a curated record. The transcript is spliced from 7 exons. Lineage: Eukaryota; Viridiplantae; Streptophyta; Pinopsida; Cupressales; Cupressaceae.
GAGAAUCGGAUGCGCAUGAAAGAGUUAAAAAAACGUCAUCUCACGGGGUGUAUGCGCAGGGCUCUGAGCACCUCAUCGAUCACAUGUAUUUUAUGAAAUCCCUUCAUUCCUGUCACUGCAUUCAUAGUUCACGAGAAAGAGGACCGGAUUUAAGCCGUUACCUCGCUAUAUUAAAUUGAAAGGUGUAGAUUCGUUCCAGCAUACGUGGUAUGGAUUCAAACCCUCCAGCGCAUAAAUUUUGAUUCGUUUGCAGAGGUUGUUAUUAAAUGUGGCGAUCUGGUUGAACGUCCUUCUCUUUCAUAUGUCGAUCACGUGAAAAUGGUAAAUGAGCUCUGACUUACAGUUCGAAGGUUAAAGCGGGAAAGGUACAAGUUCCGAGCAAUUUUUCGUGCCAUGUAAGUUUUGCCGUCUGUACUGGUUUAGCUUUAGUAGCGUAGUAGGUAGGCCUGAAUAAUUACGCAUGCAAAUUGUUCUUUUCAUAUUAUUAUUAUUUAGCACAUCUUGGAAAUACGGUGAUAACAAUCAAUCGGCGCAAGAGAUUUGCAAAUCUCGACAGACUUGUUGAGGAACCCUAGGAGAGCAGGUAAAUGCUUCCCAGUCAACAGGCUGCCCUUCCAACCACUGCUCAUUUGGCAGAAACUGGGGAAUUGUCAUUUUGCGCUUAACAGAGGAGGCGCUCCCACGGUUUUCCGCAUCGAAAUAUUGUUAAGAUCAUCGGUGAAGCUCCGGGACUUUAUUCAGGUUAAAGGCGCACCCUGGCUUUUCAGGCUUUCCCUCUCAGGUGCCUAGUUGCAAAUUUGUUUCUGUAAAGAUCAAACUCCAGCCAUGGAUCUCUUAAGCGGGGAGAAGGGUGAUGCCGAGUCUGAAACGGGAGAUCAUUCCGUCAUCUCGCUAGAGAAACCAGAAUCCGUUAUGAUUGAGCAAAUGACGAGCUCUGCUAAGCGUGGCGGCGACUGUGAGCGAAAUUCCAUAAUUUCUGCAUCGGAGGAGAAAGGGAAUGAAGAUUUUUCGCAGGUUUCUACUCCGUUGAGCCAAAAAUUUCGCGUGAAUGGAAACCCCAAGUCAAUGGUAGGGCUGGGAGAAAAAAAUAACCCAGACAAUAGUAAUGCCAAUGAGGACGCCAGAGGAUCGAACCCGGCAAACGAUGAAAACACGUCGAGACCAUUUGGUUUGUUUCCCAGUCACGCAGGCAUUGGUUCCCUUGAAUCAAUUGGUGUAUCCGAGCAAAAACGCCCAGCUGUUCACCCCUGGUUAUUUCGUGGAGCCAUGCCUCCUAGCUCACCGGCGUAUUGCUCGGUUGCAGCAUCGUCUACGACAAUUAAGCGCCCUACGGCACAGCUAACCGUUUUCUAUGCCGGAAUGGUAAACGUUUUUGAUGAUGUACCUGCUGACAAGGCGCAAGCAAUCAUGCUUCUUGCAGACAGUGGGAAGCCUGCGAGUAAUGUGUUAAAGAAACCUCCGCAACAGAUCCCAUUCAAUUCGUUUAUAAGUACCCCAUUGAACUCCAUGCCAAGAGCAUCUUUAUCUCUUCCAACUGCUUCUGGUAAUAAAGAAGUUUCUAUUCCUAACCUGCCUCUGUCAGGCCAUCCCAACCAAAACCAACCCUCGUGCAAGUUACAAUCUGAUCUUCCGAUUGCCAGAAAACACUCUCUCCAACGUUUUCUUGAGAAACGCAAGGACAGACUGAGCAGCAAGGCUCCUUACAUUGAAGAGCAUAGGUCGCCUGUUCCUGUUUUGCCUUCCUCCUAGCAUCUCACUCGCUCCAAGUCUUGGCUACUGGAGGAAAGUCCUGCAAAUCCGGUACAGGUACACUUCACAAAGCACGACAAUAUUAUCACUUAGAAAAAAGCUUCACAAAAUUUAUCGAUGGAUAAAUAAAAUCCAAGAGUAUGAUAUUGAUGUUUAGACAACCAAGCUGAUAAGAGGUCAAGGUUUAGCCAUAUCAAAUUUAGAGAUAGUAGAGAUAAGUGAAAAUAAUGAUGAUCAUGAGCUUGAUAGUUGUCCAUUGAAGAAUGAUUGUUGGUACAAAAACAUUAUAUUCUGUUUUCUAAAUAUGAGUUGCCCAACUGAUAUGAGUAAAUACUAACAAAGAAAUUUAAAAGUACAAUUCAAAAGGUAUGUAUUACUCCAUAAUUAUUUGAUGUGGAAAAACCCAAUCAGAUUACUACUCAAAUGUUUGAAUUAGGAGAAACCUAGUGCAAUAAUUGACGAAUUCCAUUAGGGAAUAUGUGGAUGACAUUUCAAGGCUAACAUGAUUGCACAUAGGGCCCUUAGGAUGGGAUUUUGGUGGCCUACUCUAUUCAAGGAUGUAAUAAAUAAGAUAAGGAAAAGUGAUACCUAUCAAAUGUUUGCUGGUAAAAUUAAGUUUGCAAGUUCUCUCCUUUUACUUGUGAUUGAAAGUGCUCCUUUUCAACAUUGGGGAGUUGAUUUCAUAGGUGAGGUACUAGAUAAAUCAAGGAAUG